This 398-nucleotide ribosomal RNA is filed under the name uncultured Neocallimastigomycetes. RNAcentral's name for it is "eukaryotic LSU rRNA". It matches the Rfam family "Eukaryotic large subunit ribosomal RNA", at positions 127 to 522 of the family's 3401-position model. The record is from RNAcentral. Lineage: Eukaryota; Fungi; Neocallimastigomycota; Neocallimastigomycetes.
GUUCUACCUUGACGAAUUGUAGUUUAAAGAAGUGUUUUCUGUUAGAGGAGUAGCAAAAGUUCCUUGGAAUGGGACAUCAUAGAGGGUGAGAAUCCCGUAUUUGGUUAUUCUUUCUAGCUUUGUGAUACACUUUCAAAGAGUCGGAUUGUUUGGGAAUGCAGUCCAAAAUGGGUGGUAAAUUUCAUCUAAAGCUAAAUAUUGGCGAGAGACCGAUAGCGAACAAGUACCGUGAGGGAAAGAUGAAAAGAACUUUGAAAAGAGAGUUAAACAGUACGUGAAAUUGUCAAAAGGGAAGCGUUUGACACCAGUGUUGUUUUUCCGAAAAUCAAUUAAGAACGGCUUGAUUUUGUGUUGUAUUGACCUUAUCAGCUUUCUUCACUCUUUUUCGAGUCUUUCUU